RNAcentral lists this ribosomal RNA (409 nucleotides) under Vibrio sp. EF3B-B84. RNAcentral describes it as "bacterial SSU rRNA". It matches the Rfam family "Bacterial small subunit ribosomal RNA", at positions 57 to 452 of the family's 1533-position model. Lineage: Bacteria; Pseudomonadati; Pseudomonadota; Gammaproteobacteria; Vibrionales; Vibrionaceae. The record is from RNAcentral.
GCAAGUCGAGCGGAAACGAGUUAACUGAACCUUCGGGGAACGUUAACGGCGUCGAGCGGCGGACGGGUGAGUAAUGCCUGGGAAAUUGCCCUGAUGUGGGGGAUAACCAUUGGAAACGAUGGCUAAUACCGCAUAAUAGCUUCGGCUCAAAGAGGGGGACCUUCGGGCCUCUCGCGUCAGGAUAUGCCCAGGUGGGAUUAGCUAGUUGGUGAGGUAAGGGCUCACCAAGGCGACGAUCCCUAGCUGGUCUGAGAGGAUGAUCAGCCACACUGGAACUGAGACACGGUCCAGACUCCUACGGGAGGCAGCAGUGGGGAAUAUUGCACAAUGGGCGCAAGCCUGAUGCAGCCAUGCCGCGUGUAUGAAGAAGGCCUUCGGGUUGUAAAGUACUUUCAGCAGUGAGGAAGGU